ACGUAGGGGGCGAGCGUUGUCCGGAAUUACUGGGCGUAAAGGGUGCGUAGGUGGCCUUUUAAGUUGGAUGUGAAAUACCCGGGCUUAACUUGGGGGGUGCAUCUAAUACUGGGAGGCUAGAGUGCAGGAGAGGGAAGCGGAAUUCCUAGUGUAGCGGUGUAAUGCGUGGAUAUUAGGAGGAGCACCAGUGGCGAAGGCGGCUUUCUGGACUGAAACUGACACUGAGGCGCGAAAGCGUGGGGAGCAAACAG
RNAcentral lists this ribosomal RNA (251 nucleotides) under uncultured prokaryote. RNAcentral's name for it is "partial 16S rRNA". It matches the Rfam family "Bacterial small subunit ribosomal RNA", at positions 525 to 775 of the family's 1533-position model. The record is from RNAcentral.